GCGCGAUUAGCUCAGUUGGUAGAGCACCUGACUCUUAAUCAGGGUGUCCAGGGUUCGAACCCUGAUCGCGCACUA
Molecule: transfer RNA, 75 nt
Filed under: Dorea formicigenerans
Lineage: Bacteria; Bacillati; Bacillota; Clostridia; Lachnospirales; Lachnospiraceae
Description: tRNA-Lys
Rfam family: tRNA
About the family: Transfer RNA (tRNA) molecules are approximately 80 nucleotides in length.
Source: RNAcentral